This is a long non-coding RNA of Bos taurus (domestic cattle), 424 nucleotides long. NCBI's taxonomy places the organism in Eukaryota, Metazoa, Chordata, Mammalia, Artiodactyla, Bovidae. The record is from Ensembl.
GUUGCUGUGGCUCAUAUCAGCUUCCAGAAACACCCGGCCCUGAGAGGCCCAGCACUGCCCCCCUCCCUGGCACGCUGGCCUCUCUACCAGGUAGGGGGGUCCUGCUCGCUCUGUCCACCGCGUCCUGCAGGCCACACACAUUUUGGCCAUGGCCGAUAGUUUCUAACAGGCCAUGGUCCCACAUCAUGGGGUGCUGGGGGCUGGUGACCUCUGCUACAAAUGAACCAGAAUGCUUAGCCCAUGAUUCAAGGAUCUACCACCACAGUCAAGAUAUUCAACAGUUCCAACAACACAAAGGUGCUCCCUUUCAUAAUCAUACCCUCCUCCCUUCCAUCCUUAACCCCUGGCAACCUCCUGUGUCACCCAUUUCUAAAACUGUCAAUUCAGAAAUGUUAUGUAGGUGUCUUGCUGGGAGAUGGUGUAC